GGGGUGUUAGUAAAAUAAUUACCUACUCUUGUCAAGAUUAAAUCACAGUGAAAACCUGUACACCUCA
RNAcentral lists this transfer RNA (67 nucleotides) under Aquila audax (wedge-tailed eagle). RNAcentral's name for it is "tRNA-Asp". The record is from RNAcentral. Lineage: Eukaryota; Metazoa; Chordata; Aves; Accipitriformes; Accipitridae.